RNAcentral lists this ribosomal RNA (375 nucleotides) under Nematoda sp. Its description in RNAcentral is "SSU rRNA". It matches the Rfam family "Eukaryotic small subunit ribosomal RNA", at positions 252 to 626 of the family's 1831-position model. The record is from RNAcentral. Lineage: Eukaryota; Metazoa; Nematoda.
CUGAAUAACUAUGCUGAUCGCACAGUCCUCGCACUGGCGACAAAUCUUUCAAAUGUCUGGCUUAUCAACUUUCGACGGUAGUAUACACGACUACCGUGGUGGUCACGGGUAACGGAGAAUUAGGGUUCGACUCCGGAGAGGGAGCCUGAGAAACGGCUACCACAUCCAAGGAAGGCAGCAGGCACGCAAAUUACCCACUCCCGGCACGGGGAGGUAGUGACGAAAAAUAACGAGACGGUUCUCUAAGAGGCCCGUCAUCGAAAUGGGUACAAUUUAAAUCCUUUAACGAGGAUCUAUUGGAGGGCAAGUCUGGUGCCAGCAGCCGCGGUAAUUCCAGCUCCAAAAGCGUAUAUUAAAGUUGUUGCGGUUAAAAAG